RNAcentral lists this ribosomal RNA (465 nucleotides) under Vreelandella stevensii. RNAcentral describes it as "partial 16S ribosomal RNA". It matches the Rfam family "Bacterial small subunit ribosomal RNA", at positions 338 to 795 of the family's 1533-position model. Lineage: Bacteria; Pseudomonadati; Pseudomonadota; Gammaproteobacteria; Oceanospirillales; Halomonadaceae. The record is from RNAcentral.
CCUACGGGCGGCAGCAGUGGGGAAUAUUGGACAAUGGGGGCAACCCUGAUCCAGCCAUGCCGCGUGUGUGAAGAAGGCCCUCGGGUUGUAAAGCACUUUCAGUGAGGAAGAACGCCUGGUGGUUAAUACCCAUCAGGAAAGACAUCACUCACAGAAGAAGCACCGGCUAACUCCGUGCCAGCAGCCGCGGUAAUACGGAGGGUGCGAGCGUUAAUCGGAAUUACUGGGCGUAAAGCGCGCGUAGGUGGCUUGAUAAGCCGGUUGUGAAAGCCCCGGGCUCAACCUGGGAACGGCAUCCGGAACUGUGAAGCUAGAGUGCAGGAGAGGAAGGUAGAAUUCCCGGUGUAGCGGUGAAAUGCGUAGAGAUCGGGAGGAAUACCAGUGGCGAAGGCGGCCUUCUGGACUGACACUGACGCUGAGGUGCGAAAGCGUGGGUAGCAAACAGGAUUAGAUAUCCUAGUAGUC